RNAcentral lists this long non-coding RNA (388 nucleotides) under Solanum tuberosum (potato). RNAcentral's name for it is "long non-coding RNA (STUB_LNC007960)". The record is from RNAcentral. Lineage: Eukaryota; Viridiplantae; Streptophyta; Magnoliopsida; Solanales; Solanaceae.
AGAACACAAUAUUCAUGUUCAAUUAAAAUAGUAAAACAAAGGGUAGAGAAAGAUAAUCAAGCAGCAACAGAGUUUGUUGGAAUGAACUGAGUUACCCAAAUACUGAAGAGUAGAGCAACAAUGCACCUUGUUUGCGGUAUAAUUUUAAAAGCCAUAGAACUUGAUUUGGAGGUUGCUGCCAAAAAUUGCACGAUAACUUCAUGUCUAGUUGCCUAUGCUUUUCCUUUUUGGAAGGAACAAACAAACCUUCAAAGUAGUUCUACAAACUGAACCCAGAUGACAGUGAAGGAAAAAUAGAGAUUUGUUGUAGAUUUUGAAGCUAGACUGACCAAUCUGCUCAAAGUUUUAACUGAAUCCAUUCGAUUAGCUGGUCAAUUUCUACGAAAGG